AUUGAACGCUGGCGGCAUGCCUUACACAUGCAAGUCGAACGGCAGCACGGGUGCUUGCACCUGGUGGCGAGUGGCGAACGGGUGAGUAAUACAUCGGAACGUACCUUAUCGUGGGGGAUAACGCAGCGAAAGCUGUGCUAAUACCGCAUACGCCCUGAGGGGGAAAGCGGGGGAUCGAAAGACCUCGCGCGAUUAGAGCGGCCGAUGCCUGAUUAGCUUGUUGGUGGGGUAAAAGCCCACCAAGGCGACGAUCAGUAGCUGGUCUGAGAGGACGAUCAGCCACACUGGGACGAAGACACGGCCCAGACUCCUACGGGAGGCAGCAGUGGGGAAUUUUGGACAAUGGGGGAAACCCUGAUCCAGCAAUGCCGCGUGAGUGAAGAAGGCCUUCGGGUUGUAAAGCUCUUUUGUCAGGGAAGAAACACCGGCUCUAACACAGUCCGGGAAUGACGGUACCUGAAGAAUAAGCACCGGCUAACUACGUGCCAGCCGCCGCCGUAA
This 501-nucleotide ribosomal RNA is filed under the name uncultured bacterium. RNAcentral describes it as "partial 16S ribosomal RNA". It matches the Rfam family "Bacterial small subunit ribosomal RNA", at positions 29 to 523 of the family's 1533-position model. The record is from RNAcentral.